UACAGAGGUCCCAAGCGUUGUUCGGAUUCACUGGGCGUAAAGGGUGCGUAGGCGGUCGGGUAAGUCUGAUGUGAAAUCUCACAGCUUAACUGUGAAACUGCAUUGGAUACUAUCUGGCUGGAGGGUCGGAGGGGAGACUGGAAUUCUCGGUGUAGCAGUGAAAUGCGUAGAUAUCGAGAGGAACACCAGUGGCGAAGGCGAGUCUCUGGACGACUCCUGACACUGAGGCACGAAAGCUAGGGGAGCAAACAGG
Molecule: ribosomal RNA, 253 nt
Filed under: uncultured bacterium
Lineage: Bacteria
Description: partial 16S ribosomal RNA
Rfam family: Bacterial small subunit ribosomal RNA
Source: RNAcentral